RNAcentral lists this ribosomal RNA (460 nucleotides) under uncultured bacterium. RNAcentral describes it as "partial 16S ribosomal RNA". It matches the Rfam family "Bacterial small subunit ribosomal RNA", at positions 338 to 795 of the family's 1533-position model. The record is from RNAcentral.
CCUACGGGAGGCAGCAGUGAGGAAUAUUGGUCAAUGGACGCAAGUCUGAACCAGCCAUGCCGCGUGAAGGAAGACGGCUCUAUGAGUUGUAAACUUCUUUUGUAAGAGGGUAAACUCAGAUACGUGUAUCUGUCUGAAAGUAUCGUACGAAUAAGGAUCGGCUAACUCCGUGCCAGCAGCCGCGGUAAUACGGAGGAUUCAAGCGUUAUCCGGAUUUAUUGGGUUUAAAGGGUGCGUAGGCGGUCGGAUAAGUUAGUUGUGAAAGCCUGAGGCUCAACUUCGGAAUUGCCUUUGAUACUGGUAGGCUAGAGAGUAGUUGAGGUAGGCGGAAUGUAUGGUGUAGCGGUGAAAUGCUUAGAGAUCACAAAGAACACCGAUUGCGAAGGCAGCUUACUAAGCUACUACUGACGUUGAGGCACGAAAGUGUGGGGAGCAAACAGGAUUAGAUACCCCUGUAGUC